Lonchura striata (white-rumped munia) is the source of this 815-nucleotide non-coding RNA. The record is from RefSeq and is a predicted model, not a curated record. NCBI's taxonomy places the organism in Eukaryota, Metazoa, Chordata, Aves, Passeriformes, Estrildidae.
CCCCCUCGGCCGGAGCGGGGUCCCCGCGCUGUCACCAGCCCCUCGUCCCCUCGAGGUUUGUCCCCUCGCUCCUUCCCCGGGGUGUCCCCGGGGUGUCCCCGGGGGUGUCCCCGGGGUGGCCCCGAGGGGUGGCCCCACGGGGGUCCCCGGGCAGGCCGAGCCCCCCCAGCUCCCCGCACCCCCCGGCGCUUUAAGCGAGGAUCCGAGCGCCCGGGGACGAGGUGACGCUGUAGCCUUGAUUCUAGAAAUAGUCUUCCUUCAAUAAAGAGACGAGAAACGCUCCCGCGGCCCCGGGCGGGGGUCGGCCAGGGGAGAGGAGAUUUGUCCUUUCCUCCCUGCAGCGAGUGAGGUGGGAACACCUGCCCAGGAGCAAUCGAGGAAUCCAGAAAAAUCAGGGAAUCCACGCGGAUCCGAGGCUGCUCUGCAGUAGGGAAGGAUUCUCCUGUGCUGGGCCCGGAGCCGAUGGCAGAGAAUGUCCACGACUAACAACAUAGCACAGGCCAGGAAGCUGGUGGAGCAGCUCCGCAUCGAGGCCGGCAUCGAGAGGAUCAAGGUCUCCAAAGCUUCCUCGGAGCUGAUGAAUUAUUGUGAGCAGCAUGCCCGGAAUGAUCCACUCCUGGUGGGAGUUCCUGCUUCCGAAAAUCCCUUUAAGGACAAAAAACCCUGUAUCAUCCUAUAGCUCCGGAUCCCUCCGGAAGGGAAUUCCCAUCCAGCCUCUGGAUCCAGGCUCCUCCACACCUCCACCUGUGCCCAAGGGUAAAAACUCAACGCUGGCUUCAAACAGAACUUAAAAAAUUCCUGAGAAAAACAAAAAA